UCUUUGUUCUUUUUCUGGACUGAAAAGGAUGAAGCAAGCAAGAAAAAAAAUAGAGCAUGAGAGAGAGAGAGAGAGAGAGAGAGAGAGAGCUAUGUUGCAUAGCUAGGGGAGAAUCGAGGGGAAACGGGAAGAAACCGAUGCCAUCCGUUUCCGUUUCGCUCCUCAGACUCCCUUCUUCAAGCGAAGUUCGGGAAGUUCUCUCGUCCCUCCAUUGAUGCAACAGAGGAGACCGAAAAUCAUACACCAGAAGGCUUUGACUCAUUAAAAUAGUUUUGGUGAGUUUCCGAUAAGCUUCCGAUUGCGCGAAGGAACCACUUUUUGAUAUCGGGGAUCAGCUUGGAGAACUAGAUAAGAACCUUAGUUAUUUGAUAGAUAUCCUUUUUGUAUAGAAUGAAGUUGAGAAUGUUACGAUCUGAAACUUUUGUCUAGUUGGUUUAGCAAUGUAGCUUUGCUGGAAUCGUGCUUAUAUAAAUAUAUAUGUGAGAGCAUUUGUAGUAGUUGUAUGUUUUUUAGAGUUAUGAAAAGCAGGUUUUAUAUGAAUAGUUUAUGUGAGAACGAAUAUCGAGGAAAUAUAUGGGGAAAUUCAGCCGAAAUUUCGGGUCGUGACAA
Molecule: non-coding RNA, 609 nt
Organism: Punica granatum (pomegranate)
Lineage: Eukaryota; Viridiplantae; Streptophyta; Magnoliopsida; Myrtales; Lythraceae
Source: RefSeq, a predicted model, not a curated record